GCUCAGCGUGUCAGUCUGAAUGAACUUUUGUUUUCCUGUAGAAGAAAAUAAAACAGGAUGGAUACACUUACACAUUCAUGCUAUUUAGGAUUUGACUUUAGCACUCAACAACUGAAGGUAGUUGCUAUUGAUGAAAAGCUUCAAGUUAUUUGUCAAAGCAGUGUCCAGUUUGACAGUGACCUACCAGAAUUCAGGACCCAGGGUGGUGUCCACAUCCAUGAGGAUGGUGUGACUGUGACCUCUCCAGUGCUCAUGUGGGUCAAGGCACUUGACCUCAUCCUUGAAAAGAUGAAUGAUGAGUUGAUGAGUGUUGGCUUUGACUUCUCUCACAUAAAAGCUGUUUCAGGUAGUGGGCAGCAACAUGGAAGUGUGUACUGGAAAAAGGGAGCUAGACAUACUCUUCAGCAUCUGGAUCCAGCAAGCUGUUUACACAUUCUGCUGCAGGAUAGAUUUGCUGUCCAGGAUAGUCCAGUGUGGAUGGAUUCCAGUACAACAGAUCAAUGUAGGAGUUUAGAGUCUGCAGUAGGGGGUCCUCAGCAGCUGGCUGAUAUAACUGGCUCAAGGGCCUACGAGCGCUUCACAGCAAAUCAGAUUGCCAAGAUCCACCAGUUAUAUCCUGACAAGUAUAAUGAAACUGAGAGAAUCUCACUGGUCAGUAGCUUUGCUGCAUCUUUAUUUCUUGGAGACUAUGGAGCAAUUGAUUACAGUGAUGGUUCAGGGAUGAACUUAAUGAACAUCUUUAGUAAAAAGUGGUCAGAAUCAUGUUUGAAAGCCACAGCACCUCAGCUGGCAGAGAAGCUGGGAGACCCCAUGCCAUCCACUGCAGUUCUGGGUCCUGUGUCUCCCUAUUUUAUAAAGCGUUUUGGGUUUCCUGUAGACUGUAAAGUGGUGGCAUUUACUGGCGAUAAUCCUGGUUCCCUGGCUGGAAUGCACCUACAGGAGGGAGAUAUAGCAGUAAGUUUGGGCACAAGCGAUACAGUGUUUUUAUGGGUGAAGGAACCCAGACCUACAGUGGAGGGGCACGUAUUCUGCAAUCCUGUGCACUGUGAGUCAUACAUGGGUCUGAUCUGUUAUAAAAAUGGCUCUCUGACCAGAGAGAAGAUUCGUAACAAGUGUGCUGGAGGAUCAUGGGAAGAUUUCUCCUCAGCUUUAAGGUCCAGCCCCAGGGGAAACAAUGGAAACAUAGGCUUUUAUUUUGAUGCAGUGGAGAUCACACCCUCGGCGGUUGGGAUUCAUAGAUUUGAUCAGCAUGAUGCAAAAGUAGCUAGCUUUACCCCAGAGGUGGAAAUUCGAGCCCUGGUUGAAGGACAGUUCUUGGCAAAGAGGUUGCAUGCCCAAAAGCUGGGCUAUAAGAUUGUUUCAGUAACGAGAGUGCUUGCAACAGGAGGGGGUUCAGCCAACAAGGACAUACUUCAGAUAUCCAUUUCUGCAUUUCGGUCAUGCAAAACAUUCCCAAAAAAAAGAAGAAGAGAUGAUGUCAACAGGUUCUGUCUGACGUGUUUAAUGCUCCAGUGUACACAAUUGAUGUGGCCAACUCUGCAUGUCUUGGCAGUGCCUACAGAGCUAUGCAUGGACUUGUUGCAGAAACAGGCAAGUCAUUUGCAGAAGUAGUGAGUGAAGCCCCAAGAGCACAGCUUGCAGCAAGACCAACUACAGGAGCUGAAAAGGUUUAUGGGCCGCUCCUGAAGAGGUACGCAGAUCUGGAAGCAAAGAUUCUCAUGCAUACAACACAACAAUGAUUCAAUGUACUCAGUGUCUUUUAAGUUAAUGGUUUAAUGGUUCCUACAAUGCAAGGGUGUCCAUACUCGUUAGGGUUUAGACCGAGAAAAAAAAACAUCGUCACAGGAUACGAAAUAAAAAACUUAUUUAAAAGA
This is an RNA transcript of Trichomycterus rosablanca, 1874 nucleotides long. It is a transcript of the gene named xylulokinase homolog (H. influenzae), with no coding region annotated. The transcript has 20 exons. Lineage: Eukaryota; Metazoa; Chordata; Actinopteri; Siluriformes; Trichomycteridae. The record is from RefSeq and is a predicted model, not a curated record.